UUAAUUGAAACCAAAAAAGAGGUCUAUCACUGUUAAUGAUAUCAUUGAUUGAAAAUCCAAUUAAAAAG
Molecule: transfer RNA, 68 nt
Filed under: Nyssomyia flaviscutellata
Lineage: Eukaryota; Metazoa; Arthropoda; Insecta; Diptera; Psychodidae
Description: tRNA-Asn
Source: RNAcentral